RNAcentral lists this ribosomal RNA (435 nucleotides) under uncultured bacterium. Its description in RNAcentral is "partial 16S ribosomal RNA". It matches the Rfam family "Bacterial small subunit ribosomal RNA", at positions 28 to 507 of the family's 1533-position model. The record is from RNAcentral.
GAUGAACGCUGGCGGUAUGCUUAACACAUGCAAGUCGAACGGACUCUUCGGAGUUAGUGGCGGACGGGUGAGUAACGCAUGAGAAUCUGGCUUUGGGUUCGGGACAACCACUGGAAACGGUGGCUAAUACCGGAUGUGCCGAGAGGUAAAAGAGAAAUUGCCUGAAGAUGAGCUCGCGUCUGAUUAGCUAGUUGGUGAGGUAAAGGCUCACCAAGGCAGCGAUCAGUAGCUGGUCUGAGAGGAUGACCAGCCACACUGGGACUGAGACACGGCCCAGACUCCUACGGGAGGCAGCAGUGGGGAAUUUUCCGCAAUGGGCGAAAGCCUGACGGAGCAAUACCGCGUGAGGGAAGAAGGCUCUUGGGUUGUAAACCUCUUUUCUUAGGGAAGAACAAAAUGACGGUACCUAAGGAAUCAGCAUCGGCUAACUCCGUG